AUUCGCCCCGCCUGUGGUCUGUCACUUCCCAGAGGGAUUACUUCUCUUUCUCUUCUGUUCCCGGUGUCUGUGAGGCGCGGGGAGCAGCCUGGUGACAUCUCGCUCUCACUCUUCCACCGAAGAAAUCGAGCGCCCGGAGGCGGGAGAUGAGGCCUGUCCGCCCACCCCGUGGGGCCACCUGCUGUCAGUGGACUCCCCCCGCCCUCGACUUUAGGCUGGCGGCGUGGGGCGUGGGGAGCGCGGGGAGUGCGGCCUCAUCACUCACCUGCCGGGUGACCUUGGGCGAACCUAGCCACAGUCCCCGCCAUGGCCAGGGUGGCGGGCCCCUCCCCGCUGACUGGUGAGGAUUCCGUGGCCUCGUGCGCGGGAAACACCAGGCGCGUCGUUAAGCAGUGUGGAGCCCGAGCGGUGAGCCGGAGCCAGUCUCCUGAGCUUCGGGGCUCACAGAGGGGGGAGGUAAGAGCAUGUACACGUAAAGGUGCAGGCUGCAGAACGGGAGGAAGCCUCCCUUCCUCCCCAUGGCCCCAGAGGUGACCACUGUUACCUGUUUCUCCUGGAACCUUCCAGGGAUGUGCUAGGCAUGUUUAGGAAAUACUUACACUUUUUUCUCUUUAGCGAUGGCUGGGUUUCAAUUUUCUUUUCUUUUCUUUUUUAAACACAAGUAGUAGCCUGUACGCCCAUUGUUCUGUACGUUGUAGAACAUAUAAUAUGUUGGAGGUUGUCCAAGUCAGUACCUAAGGCUAUGCCUCUUUUUUAACAGCCGUAUGGCCUUUCACCAUGUAAAUAAACAAGAGGUAAUUUAGGAACUUUUUGAUGGAUAUUCAGGAUGGUUAUUUUUGCAAUUAGCUACAGAAGAUUUUGAGAGAUCAAAGAAUGGGAGUAGGAUGCUUUCCGUGUCAGUUGCUUCCAAAGAAAUGCUCCUUCCAUAUUGCCAAAGCUGGAGGAAGGGGUGUUUUGCUGCUGAUCUCUAAUACUGGCUUUGUCUUUUUUUUUUUUUAAUUUUAAUUGGGGUAUAGCUGAUUACCAGUGUUACGUCUGGCUUUGUCUUUUUAUUUUAAUUAAUUAAUUAAUUAAUUUUUGGUUGCAUUGUGUCUUCCUUGCAGUGCGCGGGCUUCUCAUUGUGGUGACUUCUCUUGCUGCAGAGCACGGGCUCUAGGCGCACGGGCUCAGUAGCUGUGGCCCAUGGGCUUAGUUGCUCUGCAGCAUGUGGGAUCUUCCCGGACCAGGGCUUGAACCCAUGUCCCCUGCAUUGGCAGGUGGAUUCUUAACCACUGUGCCACCUGGGAAGUCCUGUCUGGCUUUGUCUUUAACCAGAAACUUGUAGGAGAAGUGUUCUAAACCUUUGGCACCUACUCGCACUUGUCUGUUUUAGAAUCUAGUAUAAGAUGGAAUUCGUUUUAGCAUGAUAUUAUGAAUUGUCACGUUAGGCUUCAUGUAUCUGUGUUUCCUAGUAUUCUGAAGAGAGCAUCGGGGCUGUCACAUGUUGUGUCACCUGAAUUCAAGUUUGAGAACCAGACUUUCGGGCCAGGGGAACAGCAUGAAUUCAGGGGGUGCUGGUUCCAUCCCUGGUCCGGGAAGAACUAAGAUCCCACAUGCCACAAGGUGAGGCCAAAAAAAACAACCAGGCAAAACUAAUCUCUGGCAGAACCGUGAUUGCCUUGGCAGGAGGAAGGGAUGGAUUGGAAACAGGCAGAAAGAAACUUCCUGUAGUGAUGAAAAUGUUCUAUAUGUUGAUGGGGGUGUUUACAUAAUUGUAUACACUUGACAGACUCGUUGUAAACUUGAGAUCUGUGCAUUUCACUGUAUGCAAGCUUUAUCUUAAAAAAACA
Long non-coding RNA from Orcinus orca (killer whale), 1829 nucleotides. RefSeq lists it as uncharacterized. NCBI's taxonomy places the organism in Eukaryota, Metazoa, Chordata, Mammalia, Artiodactyla, Delphinidae. The record is from RefSeq and is a predicted model, not a curated record. The transcript has 2 exons.